Long non-coding RNA from Hemicordylus capensis (graceful crag lizard), 525 nucleotides. RefSeq lists it as uncharacterized. The transcript has 4 exons. The record is from RefSeq and is a predicted model, not a curated record. NCBI's taxonomy places the organism in Eukaryota, Metazoa, Chordata, Lepidosauria, Squamata, Cordylidae.
AAGAAAGAAAGAAAGAAAGAAAGAAAGAAAGAAAGAAAGAAAGAAAGAACAUCAUAACUCCCAAGUCAAAUGUCUGUAGCUUAGGGCUACUUCAUACAACCUCUUUUCACAUUUAUCCUCAGCAACUUGACUGCAUCCCACAGUUCCUCUGGUUCCCUAUCAAUGAGGUUCAGAACUUCAAAGCAGUUCCUGAUGUUCUCCUUGAAAAUACUCAGGAUCUGCAGGAAUUCCACCCAACAGCUCCAGCUCCAAAAGAACUACAUGAGCCACAGGUCCAAAAAGUACUAACCAACUAAGAACACAGCACUCUCUGGCAUACAUAACAGGUGGUGCUAAAAGGCAAGAUGCAAUGAUAUUUUCAGAGAACCUGAGUGUGGGCUCCUUCUCCUAACUGUCUAUCUUGACUGAAUUUAAGGCUGAAGGACAAGCAAAUAUUAAGCUGCAGGAGAAGUGCUAAUAAUAUCUGAUUGUUGAAAAAGAAUAUUGAAAGAAUUUUAAAUAUUUUUAAAGCUCAGCUUCUUAUUG